UAGUACCGUGGGGCGGCUGAUAACGCUUUAGCGAGCCGCGAAGAUAGGAGGCGGGGAAGAAGGGGGACGUGUACCUCUCCCUCAUUCACGGUACCACCGCGAGGGGGAGUGGGGGGCUACAAGGGGACGGAGAGAAGAGUCCAGACGUCCCACAUCCUGAGGGCGAGUUUCAGCCUCGUAGAGGGCAGCGAAAGUAAUUGCAUGGAUCAGGAAAAUCUUGCAAUCGGAAAACAGCAGCGUCCCCGUAAUUUCAAUAUAGGUACAUUUACCUGAACUCAUCACCUUCCCACCCCCAUCCCAUCGACUCUGUGCUGUAUCCUGAACCGGCUGACAGAACAAUGAUGUAGACUUGACUUGUUUUCGCCAACCUGGAAUGAAGCAAAGCUCUUGUGCACCCAAGAUCUGCUCUCUGUUGUAAAUCCUGUUCAGACCUGGUCUAAUUGGUUUGAAUAAAUAAAGAACCGGAAUCUUUCUCAUCCAAACUAGUUGCCAGCAUAUUUUUAAGGCCACCUCCCUUCAAAUUUAAAAGGAAGUGUUGAAUGUACUGUCACUAUAAAUUAAAAGCCCUGGAAAUUCACACGCAAGGAGGCAUUCUUUCUCCCAGGGGCACAAAAUUGUUUAAAAUUUGCAGAUAGGGUUAUUAAACACGAAGAUCCUUUUGCUA
Long non-coding RNA from Homo sapiens (human), 664 nucleotides. RefSeq annotates it as STIM2 antisense RNA 1. The transcript has 2 exons. The record is from RefSeq and is marked validated. Lineage: Eukaryota; Metazoa; Chordata; Mammalia; Primates; Hominidae.